CCUACGGGAGGCAGCAGUCGAGAAUCAUUCACAAUGGGGGAAACCCUGAUGGUGCGACGCCGCGUGGGGGAAUGAAGGUCUUCGGAUUGUAAACCCCUGUCAUGUGGGAGCAAAGUAAAAAGAUAGUACCACAAGAGGAAGAGACUGCUAACUCUGUGCCAGCAGCCGCGGUACUACAGAGGUCUCAAGCGGUGUUCGGAAUUACUGGGCGUAAAGGGUGCGUAGGCUGUUGCGUAAGUCGUGUGUGAAAGUCGCGGGCUCAAACCGCGGACGGCAUAUGAUACUGCGAGACUUGAGUAAUGCAGAGGGAGGCGGAAUUCGCGGUGUAGCAGUGAAAUGCGUAGAUAUCGAGAAGAACACUCGUUGCGAAGGCAGGUUCCUGGACAUUAACUGACGCUGAGGCACGAAGGCCAGGGGAGCGAAAGGGAUUAGAUACCCCAGUAGUC
RNAcentral lists this ribosomal RNA (446 nucleotides) under uncultured bacterium. RNAcentral's name for it is "partial 16S ribosomal RNA". It matches the Rfam family "Bacterial small subunit ribosomal RNA", at positions 338 to 795 of the family's 1533-position model. The record is from RNAcentral.